This is a non-coding RNA of Paramuricea clavata, 72 nucleotides long. Lineage: Eukaryota; Metazoa; Cnidaria; Anthozoa; Malacalcyonacea; Plexauridae. The record is from the annotation of a GenBank genome assembly.
GUUCAACCCCGGGGUUGAAAUUUCAACCCUGCUAGCCGAAGUAGGGCUGAAAUUUCAAUCCCGGGAUUGAAC